Molecule: ribosomal RNA, 468 nt
Filed under: Nanorana blanfordii
Lineage: Eukaryota; Metazoa; Chordata; Amphibia; Anura; Dicroglossidae
Description: partial large subunit ribosomal RNA
Rfam family: Bacterial large subunit ribosomal RNA
Source: RNAcentral
CGGCCGCGGUAUCCUGACCGUGCGAAGGUAGCAUAAUCACUUGUUCUUUAAAUAAGGACUAGUAUCAACGGCAUCACGAGGGUUAUACUGUCUCCUCUCUCCAAUCAGUGAAACUGAUCUCCCCGUGAAGAAGCGGGGAUAAAUAUAUAAGACGAGAAGACCCCAUGGAGCUUUAAACUCAACAACAACUUCCCCUACAAAAUCCUACAUAACCCUGGAAAGUACUGUUUGUUAGUUUUGGGUUGGGGUGACCGCGGAGAAAAAUUAAACCUCCACGACGAACGGAACUAACUCCUAAUCUAAGAGCCACCGCUCUAAGAAUCAAUAAAUUGACAUAAAUGAUCCGAUAAUCGAUCAACGAACCAAGUUACCCUGGGGAUAACAGCGCAAUCCAUUUCAAGAGCUCCUAUCGACAAAUGGGUUUACGACCUCGAUGUUGGAUCAGGGUAUCCCAGUGGUGCAGCCGCU